AGGCAGUGCUUGUGGCUUUGCUGCUCCCAUGGCUUCUGCCUCCUUCAGCACCAGACUUGGGCUGGCACCUGUCAAAGCGUAAUGCAGGUAGUCCUAAGGUGAAGUGAAGGAGGACUGAAACUUCCUGUGGAGCAGAAGAGCUAAAGCUUACUUGAUCUUGAUUUUCAGGACAAAUAGACCAUGAAAAUGGGGCCUCAUGAUCUUUCUGGCUAUUUGGGUUUUAACUAGGAGGUCUCAGAAAAGUUACCACAGGGAUAACUGGCUUAUGGCAGCCAAGGGUCAUAGUGACGUUGCUUUUUGAUCCUUCAAUGUCUGCUCUCCCUAUCAUUGUGAAGCAGAAUUCGAAUUGAUAGAAGAAAAACAUUUUAUCUUAAUACUGUAGAAGCUGGUUUGGGUUUUUUGUUUGAUUGCUAUUUUU
Molecule: non-coding RNA, 418 nt
Filed under: Calypte anna (Anna's hummingbird)
Lineage: Eukaryota; Metazoa; Chordata; Aves; Apodiformes; Trochilidae
Description: Eukaryotic large subunit ribosomal RNA
Rfam family: Eukaryotic large subunit ribosomal RNA
Source: Rfam by way of RNAcentral